Zingiber officinale is the source of this 776-nucleotide long non-coding RNA. RefSeq lists it as uncharacterized. NCBI's taxonomy places the organism in Eukaryota, Viridiplantae, Streptophyta, Magnoliopsida, Zingiberales, Zingiberaceae. The transcript is spliced from 4 exons. The record is from RefSeq and is a predicted model, not a curated record.
UUUCUCCUCCGUCUUUCCUUCCCUCGCGCACCCGAGCCGCACCCCCCUUCCUCGCCCGACGCCAUCUCCUCCGAUCCCUAACCGCCGGAGCCCUAACCGCCGGCCACGGCGGUUUUUCUUCCUCCCCUUCCACUUCUUCUUCUUCUCCUCUGCCCGAGCCGAACCCUCCUUCCUUCAUCUCUCGCGACGCCGGUCUUCUCCACACCGACGCCUCUGCCCUAAUCUUUUCACGCCGAUCGCCUCUUCCCCUGCCCGGAGUAGUGCUAAUUCGGCGACGCCGUCUCUGUGCCCUAGCCGCCGUUGCCGACACCCGAGUAGGAGCCGAGCGAUUCCUUGCCCUAGGUGCCGACGCCGCACCUCUCUGCCCUAGCGCCGGCCCGUCGCCGAGCCCUAGCAUCUCCGGCCGACUCCUUUGUGUGCCGCUCACCAUCGCUGUUUCCUCCUCUGUGCCAGCCACUGAGCGCUGACGUCUCUGGACCUAGCACCGCCGCCGAGUUUGCUUCGCGGACGUUGUGCCCUAGCACUGUCGUAGGCCACAGUGAUUCCGGCCGUGAGGAGAAGACAGACUUGCAGUGGGCUUGUUUUAGUUCUAGCAGCGAGACAACCCUUUUUCCGGCUGUGAAUUGAGGUAUGGUUUAGGGUCAGUGGUUAAAACUAGUACCAGCCACAGUUUUGGCAACGGGUGCAUCCUCGACAAAUUAACGACAAAGUAUACGGAUUUGGGACUUUGAUUCGAGACGAGUGUCUCGAUUUGUCGGACUGGACCAUUUCGAUUG